CCUACGGGAGGCAGCAGUGGGGAAUUUUGGACAAUGGGCGCAAGCCUGAUCCAGCAAUGCCGCGUGAGUGAAGAAGGCCUUCGGGUUGUAAAGCUCUUUUGUCAGGGAAGAAACGGUUGGGGCUAAUAUCCUCGGCUAAUGACGGUACCUGAAGAAUAAGCACCGGCUAACUACGUGCCAGCAGCCGCGGUAAUACGUAGGGUGCAAGCGUUAAUCGGAAUUACUGGGCGUAAAGCGUGCGCAGGCGGUUUUGUAAGUCUGUCGUGAAAGCCCCGGGCUUAACCUGGGAAUUGCGAUGGAGACUGCAAGGCUUGAAUCUGGCAGAGGGGGGUAGAAUUCCACGUGUAGCAGUGAAAUGCGUAGAGAUGUGGAGGAACACCGAUGGCGAAGGCAGCCCCCUGGGUCAAGAUUGACGCUCAUGCACGAAAGCGUGGGGAGCAAACAGGAUUAGAUACCCUGGUAGUCCACGCCCUAAACGAUGUCUACUAGUUGUCGGGUCUUAAUUGACUUGGUAACGCAGCUAACGCGUGAAGUAGACCGCCUGGGGAGUACGGUCGCAAGAUUAAAACUCAAAUGAAAUUGACGG
RNAcentral lists this ribosomal RNA (586 nucleotides) under uncultured bacterium. RNAcentral describes it as "bacterial SSU rRNA". It matches the Rfam family "Bacterial small subunit ribosomal RNA", at positions 338 to 916 of the family's 1533-position model. The record is from RNAcentral.